CGUAUGCAGGCUGAAGCAUGACCGUAAGGACAUGUGGACAGUAUACGAGUGAGAAUGUUGGCAUGAGUAGCGAGACGUGGGUGAGAAUCCCACGGGCCGUAAACUCAAGGUUUCCAGGGGAAGGUUCGUCCGCCCUGGGUUAGUCGGGACCUAAGCCGAGGCCGAAAGGCGUAGGUGAUGGACAACAGGUUGAUAUUCCUGUACCGCCAAUAAGCGUUUGAGAGAUGGAGUGACACAGUAGGAUAAGCUAACCGUACUGUUGGUUAUGUACGGCUAAGCAUUGAGGCAGUCUAAAUAGGCAAAUCCGUUUAGACAAUGCUAGGAUGUGAUGGGGAAGCCCUUCGGGGCGAAGUAGCUGAUUUCACACUGUCAAGAAAAGCUUCUAUCGAGUUUAAAGGCGCCCGUACCGUAAACCGACACAGGUGGGUGAGGAGAGUAUCCUAAGGCCAGCGAGAGAACUAUUGUUAAGGAACUCGGCAAAAUGACCCCGUAACUUAGGGAGAAGGGGUGCCUGUCUAUGACAGGCCGCAGAGAAUAGGCCCAAGCGACUGUUUACCAAAAACACAGGUUUCUGCUAAGUCGCAAGACGAUGUAUAGGAGCUGACGCCUGCCCGGUGCUGGAAGGUUAAGGGGAUCUGUUAGAGCAAUCGAAGCAGUGAACUUAAGCCCCAGUAAACGGCGGCCGUAACAAUAACGGUCCUAAGGUAGCGAAAUUCCUUGUCGGGUAAGUUCCGACCCGCACGAAAGGCGUAACGAUUUGGGCACUGUCUCAACUAUAGACUCGGUGAAAUUGUAAUCCCGGUGAAGAUGCCGGGUACCUGCGACAGGACGGAAAGACCCCAUGGAGCUUUACUGUAGCUUGACGUUGGGUCUUGGUACUACAUGUACAGGAUAGGUGGGAGACUAUGAAGCAUGGACGCCAGUCUGUGUGGAGUCAUCCUUGGGAUACCACCCUUGUAGUACUGGGAUCCUAACCAUAGGCCUUGAAUCAGGUCUUGGAACACCGUCAGGUGGGCAGUUUGACUGGGGCGGUCGCCUCCUAAAAAGUAACGGAGGCGCUCAAAGGUUUCCUCAGCACGGUCGGAAAUCGUGCGAAGAGUGUAAAGGCAAAAGGAAGCUAGAUUGCAAGACAUACAGGUCGAGCAAGGACGAAAGUCGGACUUAGUGAUCCGGUGGUACCGCAUGGAAGGGCCAUCGCUCAACGGAUAAAAGCUACCCUGGGGAUAACAGGCUUAUCUCCCCCAAGAGUCCACGUCGACGGGGAGGUUUGGCACCUCGAUGUCGGCUCAUCACAUCCUGGGGCUGUAGUAGGUCCCAAGGGUUGGGCUGUUCGCCCAUUAAAGUGGUACGCGAGCUGGGUUCAGAACGUCGUGAGACAGUUCGGUCCCUAUCCGUCGCAGGCGUAGGAAAUUUGAGAAGACCUGUCCUUAGUACGAGAGGACCGGGAUGGACGUACCUCUGGUGUACCAGUUGUUCUGCCAAGGGCAUGGCUGGGUAGCUAUGUACGGAAUGGAUAAGCGCUGAAAGCGUCUAAGCGCGAAGCCAACUUCAAGAUAAA
This 1558-nucleotide ribosomal RNA is filed under the name metagenome. RNAcentral describes it as "bacterial LSU rRNA". It matches the Rfam family "Bacterial large subunit ribosomal RNA", at positions 1240 to 2808 of the family's 2925-position model. The record is from RNAcentral.